CGCACAGGCACGUCUUCUGACUGAACGCAACGCCAGACUUGCCCUCAGAGCGCUGAGCAGCCACAGAGAAGAAGGAGCCAGGGCCCUGCCUCACCUAAGUGUCCCUGUCUGACUGCCUCCGGCGCCCGAAGACAGACAGUGUGUGGUGCCCGAAGAAGCCCAAGGUCAGGUGCGAUAAACAGAUAAAUUGUCCACACACCACCUACACGUCAGAGAACUUCCUUGGUGAAAGCAAUCAGCUUCAAGCCUAAGUUCACCAGUAGGUGGCAGCAAUGCAUUGGCCAGGUACCAGUCUCAGUUUAGUGUAUCUAGGCUGGAAUGGUUUAUUCCAGCUUAGUUCCCCCUCCGUGGAGGGAUGGAUUGUUCCCACAUCCUGCAGCAUGGGUGGAGAAGGAAGUUAGAGUCAGUGUAGCCUCCCCCCUGCAAGGGGAAGGCUGUGUAAUAGCCUUCAGGAGAUCCCCUGCAUAGGAUCCCCUGCGGCUGACACAUUGAUCACAUUCUCAGACUGAGCACCUGCAGCCAGCUGGAUGAAGAAAGCAGACAACCCCCAGAGUUCCAGAAAGAAAGCAUCCCCUGAGAAACUGUCUGUGAGUAAAGUCCAGAGACCUAGGAGAAGCCACUCCUCCUCAGCUAGGCUGUCCCCAUACAGCAGAAGUACAGAAAAGUGCAGAAGAUUAGUUCCUGCCACAAUUACAGAGCUACCAAGCAGAUGUAUUAUCCUCACACUUAAAGUGCAGAAGUGUUUAUUCCUGCCAAUGAUUGCCAAAACCUGCGAUUACAAACAAAGCUGUAUACUGCUUGGUAACAAGUUAUCUUCAGUAAAGAAACGUUUGAGCUUCAUCUAAAGGUCUGGACAUCA
Molecule: long non-coding RNA, 859 nt
Organism: Bufo gargarizans (Asiatic toad)
Lineage: Eukaryota; Metazoa; Chordata; Amphibia; Anura; Bufonidae
Exons: 3
Source: RefSeq, a predicted model, not a curated record